RNAcentral lists this transfer RNA (77 nucleotides) under Acidobacteriota bacterium. Its description in RNAcentral is "Acidobacteria bacterium tRNA-Arg". It matches the Rfam family "tRNA". Rfam says of the family: Transfer RNA (tRNA) molecules are approximately 80 nucleotides in length. Their secondary structure includes four short double-helical elements and three loops (D, anti-codon, and T loops). Lineage: Bacteria; Pseudomonadati; Acidobacteriota. The record is from RNAcentral. RNAcentral also lists the same sequence under 1 other name.
GCGCCCGUAGCUCAGCUGGAUAGAGCGUCGGCCUCCGGAGCCGAAGGCCACAGGUUCGAAUCCUGUCGGGCGCACCA